AGGAGGUUGAAUAGGGUUAGAAAGACGGCAUGACUAUAUCUCUAAUGUAGACCUAAAGUGCUUCCUAGAGCUAGGGACCAGGAUUCUAAAUGAGACCUGAGGGAAUGGAGCUGUUGUUGACAAGAGCUGUUAGACAAACAGGACAUGGAGGAGGAGAGGUCAAAAGUCCGUCUGACUCACCUGUGCUGAGUGACUUGAAUGCCAUCUAAUCUAACUUCAAGGUCACAGUGUUUGGACACCGCAUGAACAUGCCAAUUUCCUGUGUUGUAAUAUUUUUAUGCACUUUAAGAAGACCACCAGAAACAGCAGAGUGAGUGAAUGACUGAGGCGCAUAUUGGACAAAAAUCACUUAUCCAAGACCACGUUACUACAACCCCAGGGCACAGAAGCUAAGUCUUCCUAUUGUACUGAACUCAGUUGACUGGAAUUUGUUCAGGAAAGCAUGAAGUCAAAUGGAAGCUAGUCCGUGACUGGAUUCAUCUUUUGAACAGCCACAGGAUGUCUAGGAGCCAGCAGAGGGGCCAGAUAUGCUGCAGUUUAUGCUGUAAAAGGAAGCCUGCCGCCGUGAGUGGUCCAGUGGGAGCUCUUGCUUUGUGUCCUCAGCCUUUCACCUUUCCAUCUGAUGACUUGCUCUGAAUCUUCACUUCCUGGGCAGAGCUCUGAGUAUAGAUGAGGCAAACUUCACAUGGAAAAGAAGCCAUAUUUUGAAAAAACUACACGGAAUCAAAGAGAACUAACUCAAAGAAGCAAAAUUUUGGAGAUAAAACAAGCACCAUUCAGAAUCUGGACAUAUAAUAUGUUUAUGGCAUUUAACCUAGUCAGACAGUAGAUAUUGCUCUAAGUCAUGGCCUACACCUGUGAGCCUACUUAUAUCAGCAUUUGCCAAAUGUACUUGUAGCUGUGGUACUGACCUCAGAGAACUUAGCCAAAGAGCAAAGACUGCCUAAUUCAAGAAGUACUGAGAAGAUGUUCCAGGAUUACUUCAUGCUGUCCAGGUCCUAGACAUGGAAUCGUUUGCUUCUUCAAAAGUCUGGAUCCCUUUAAGAUACGAAAUGUAUUUAGAAACCAAAGUAUGGAUGCUAGGUGUGCUCAUGGCCAUUGGAGUGUGUUUCUAGACCCAGGAAUAAGCAAACAAUGGCCUGUAAACUAUAUCCUGUCUGUGGCCUGUUUUUGUACAUCCUAAGAACUAAAAAUUAUUUUAAAAAUUGUAAAUGGGAAAAAGUCAACAACAACAAACAAAUCAACAAAUAACCCCACAAAUAAACAGUUUCUUAAAGACCAGAAUGACCAAGAAA
This 1295-nucleotide long non-coding RNA is filed under the name Homo sapiens (human). RNAcentral's name for it is "long intergenic non-protein coding RNA 1811". The record is from RNAcentral. Lineage: Eukaryota; Metazoa; Chordata; Mammalia; Primates; Hominidae.